UUCACUCCCACCAGCUGAACAGAAGGUCACCUUUGUGCAGAGAGAGUGAAUAUCCAGCCACACCGGCUGCACAGUAGUGCAAAGAUCAAUGCGGCAUUCCCCAGCUGGACCCCUGCUCAAGUUCGAUGGCUGCAGUUUCUUCAUGCGAAGUCUGUUUUGCUUCCUGCAGUACCCUAGGAGGAGCUCCAUUCCACCCUAUCAGAGGAGCUGCUAGUCCAGAGAUCAAAAGGGUGAAGAUCCAAAACGAAGAUAAACAUUACAAGCCUGUCUGAGGGUGAAAGGGGUGAAAAUCUGGAGCAAGGAUUAAACACCGUGGUGUUCCUACAUUGAUGGAUUAAAAGCCAG
Long non-coding RNA from Polypterus senegalus (gray bichir), 345 nucleotides. RefSeq lists it as uncharacterized. The transcript is spliced from 3 exons. NCBI's taxonomy places the organism in Eukaryota, Metazoa, Chordata, Cladistia, Polypteriformes, Polypteridae. The record is from RefSeq and is a predicted model, not a curated record.